This 925-nucleotide ribosomal RNA is filed under the name uncultured organism. Its description in RNAcentral is "bacterial SSU rRNA". It matches the Rfam family "Bacterial small subunit ribosomal RNA", at positions 48 to 963 of the family's 1533-position model. The record is from RNAcentral.
CUUACACAUGCAAGUCGCGGGGCAGCAUGAGUGGCACACUUGAUGGCGANCGGCGCACGGGUGAGUAACGCGUAUGCAACCUACCUCUGACUGGAGAAUAGCCCGAAGAAAUUCGGAUUAAUGCUCCAUAAGACCACGAUACCGCAUGAUAAAGUGGUAAAAGUUCCGACGGUUAGAGAUGGGCAUGCGUGCCAUUAGUUUGUUGGUGAGGUAAUGGCUCACCAAUGCAACGAUGGCUAGGGGGUCUGAGAGGAUGAUCCCCCACACUGGUACUGAGACACGGACCAGACUCCUACGGGAGGCAGCAGUGAGGAAUAUUGGUCAAUGGACGCAAGUCUGAACCAGCCAUGCCGCGUGCAGGAUGAAUGCCCUAUGGGUUGUAAACUGCUUUUCUACAAGAAGAAACCCCUUGACGCGUCAAGGGCUGACGGUAUUGUAGGAAUAAGCAUCGGCUAACUCCGUGCCAGCAGCCGCGGUAAUACGGAGGAUGCAAGCGUUAUCCGGAUUCAUUGGGUUUAAAGGGUGCGUAGGCGGGGUAGUAAGUCAGUGGUGAAAGCCUGCGGCUUAACCGUAGAAUUGCCAUUGAUACUGCUAUUCUUGAGUGCAGUUGAGGUAGGCGGAAUGUGUAAUGUAGCGGUGAAAUGCUUAGAUAUUACACAGAACACCGAUUGCGUAGGCAGCUUACUAAACUGUUACUGACGCUGAGGCACGAAAGCGUGGGGAGCGAACAGGAUUAGAUACCCUGGUAGUCCACGCUGUAAACGAUGAUCACUCGCUGUUGGCGAUACACUGUCAGCGGCUGAGCGAAAGCAUUAAGUGAUCCACCCUGGGGAGUACGGCCGCCAAGGUUGAAACUCAUAAGGAAUUGACGUGGGGCCACGCACUAAGCUGGUGGUAACAUGUGGUUUAAUGUCGAUGAUACNNG